GGCCUACGGGAGGCAGCAGUGGGGAAUAUUGCACAAUGGAGGAAACUCUGAUGCAGCAAUGCCGCGUGUGUGAAGAAGGCCUUAGGGUUGUAAAGCACUUUCAGUAGGGAGGAAAAGUUUAAGGUUAAUAACCUUAGGCCCUGACGUUACCUACAGAAGAAGCACCGGCUAACUCCGUGCCAGCAGCCGCGGUAAU
Molecule: ribosomal RNA, 196 nt
Filed under: uncultured Cycloclasticus sp.
Lineage: Bacteria; Pseudomonadati; Pseudomonadota; Gammaproteobacteria; Thiotrichales; Piscirickettsiaceae
Description: partial 16S ribosomal RNA
Rfam family: Bacterial small subunit ribosomal RNA
Source: RNAcentral